This 252-nucleotide ribosomal RNA is filed under the name uncultured bacterium. Its description in RNAcentral is "partial 16S ribosomal RNA". It matches the Rfam family "Bacterial small subunit ribosomal RNA", at positions 524 to 775 of the family's 1533-position model. The record is from RNAcentral.
UACGGAGGGUGCAAGCGUUAAUCGGAAUUACUGGGCGUAAAGCGCACGCAGGCGGUUUGUUAAGUCAGAUGUGAAAUCCCCGCGCUUAACGUGGGAACUGCAUUUGAAACUGGCAAGCUAGAGUCUUGUAGAGGGGGGUAGAAUUCCAGGUGUAGCGGUGAAAUGCGUAGAGAUCUGGAGGAAUACCGGUGGCGAAGGCGGCCCCCUGGACAAAGACUGACGCUCAGGUGCGAAAGCGUGGGGAGCAAACAG